CACAUGCAAGUCUCAGCACCCCAGUGAGGACGCCCUUAAUCCCUUAUCCAGGACAAGGAGCUGACAUCAGGCACAGAACACUAGCCCACAACGUCUAGUCCCACCACACCCACAAGGGUUCUCAGCAGUGAUAAAGAUUGCUAAUGAGCGUCAGCUCGAAUCAGUUAGAGAGAAGAGAGCCGGCUAACCCGGUGCCAGCCGCCGCGGCUACACCGUGGGGCUCAAACUGAUAGUUGUCGGCGUUAAGCGUGAUUAAGGUCAUAUUUAAUUAGAGUUAAAUGUAUGUUUAGCUGUGAAAAGCUUACUAACUAGAAAUCCAAACACGAAAGUUACUCUAACUCCCCCUGAAUACACGACGCUGGGGUCACAAACUGGGAUUAGUAGAUACCCC
RNAcentral lists this ribosomal RNA (391 nucleotides) under Aglyptodactylus madagascariensis (Madagascar jumping frog). RNAcentral describes it as "partial 12S ribosomal RNA". The record is from RNAcentral. Lineage: Eukaryota; Metazoa; Chordata; Amphibia; Anura; Mantellidae.